GCAAGUCGAACGGUAACAAUUCGGUUUACGAGUGGCGAACGGGUGAGUAACGCGUACGCAACCUACCUUCAAGAGUGGGAUAGCCCCGGGAAACUGGGAUUAAUACCACAUAGUAUUAUAAAUGCGAGUGCUUUAAUAAUUAAAGUUCAGGCGCUAGAAGAUGGGCGUGCGUGAUAUUAGCUAGUUGGUGUGGUAACGGCUCACCAAGGCGAUGAUAGCUAGGGGGCGUGAGAGCGUGACC
This 241-nucleotide ribosomal RNA is filed under the name uncultured bacterium. RNAcentral's name for it is "partial 16S ribosomal RNA". It matches the Rfam family "Bacterial small subunit ribosomal RNA", at positions 57 to 305 of the family's 1533-position model. The record is from RNAcentral.